This 493-nucleotide ribosomal RNA is filed under the name uncultured bacterium. RNAcentral's name for it is "partial 16S ribosomal RNA". It matches the Rfam family "Bacterial small subunit ribosomal RNA", at positions 29 to 507 of the family's 1533-position model. The record is from RNAcentral.
ACGAACGCUGGCGGCGUGCUUCACCCAUGCAAGUCGAACGGUGAAGCGCCUUCCUUUUUGGUGGGUGUGGAUGAGUGGCGAACGGGUGAGUAACACGUGAGUAACCUGCCCCCUUCUUCUGGAUAACCGCAUGAAAGUGUGGCUAAUACGGGAUAUUCUGGGUCUGUCGCAUGAUGGGUCUGGGAAAGAUAUUGUUUCGGUGGGGGAUGGGCUCGCGGCCUAUCAGCUUGUUGGUGGGGUGAUGGCCUACCAAGGCGGUGACGGGUAGCCGGCCUGAGAGGGUGGACGGUCACACAGGGACUGAGACACGGCCCAGACUCCUACGGGAGGCAGCAGUGGGGAAUAUUGCACAAUGGGCGCAAGCCUGAUGCAGCGACGCCGCGUGAGGGAUGGAGGCCUUCGGGUUGUGAACCUCUUUCGCCAGUGAAGCAGGCCUGCCUCGUUUGUGGGUGGGUUGACGGUAGCUGGAUAAGAAGCGCCGGCUAACUACGUG